RNAcentral lists this transfer RNA (70 nucleotides) under Marmota monax (woodchuck). RNAcentral's name for it is "tRNA.Ala". It matches the Rfam family "tRNA". Rfam says of the family: Transfer RNA (tRNA) molecules are approximately 80 nucleotides in length. Lineage: Eukaryota; Metazoa; Chordata; Mammalia; Rodentia; Sciuridae. The record is from RNAcentral.
GGGGUGAGGCUCAGUGGCAGAGAAUCUGCCUGGCAUGCACCAGGCCCUGGGUUCCAUCCCCAGCACCACA